RNAcentral lists this long non-coding RNA (231 nucleotides) under Elaeis guineensis (African oil palm). RNAcentral's name for it is "long non-coding RNA (EGUI_LNC057873)". The record is from RNAcentral. Lineage: Eukaryota; Viridiplantae; Streptophyta; Magnoliopsida; Arecales; Arecaceae.
GCAGGAAGUGGGGCAGGAUCGUGGGCAUCAUAGCAGUCUGCCAGAGAGUAAUGGAGCCGCACAAAAUCCGUCGUAGGAAGUGGAGCAGAGUCGUGGCCGUUACUGUGGCCUGCCAGGGAGUGAUGGGGCCGCGCAGAAUCUAUCGCAGGAAGUGGGGCAGCAUCGUGGCCGUUGCUGCAUCAUGCCAGGGAGUGCAAGCCUGUCGGCUGAAGUUUGGCUGGAGUGUCUGGU